UCCCUGGUGGUCCAGUGGGUAAGACUCUGCACUCCCAAUGCAGGGGGCCUGGGUUCAAUUCCCAGUCAGGGAA
Non-coding RNA from Globicephala melas (long-finned pilot whale), 73 nucleotides. The record is from the annotation of a RefSeq genome assembly. NCBI's taxonomy places the organism in Eukaryota, Metazoa, Chordata, Mammalia, Artiodactyla, Delphinidae.